Molecule: non-coding RNA, 71 nt
Organism: Podarcis lilfordi (Lilford's wall lizard)
Lineage: Eukaryota; Metazoa; Chordata; Lepidosauria; Squamata; Lacertidae
Source: the annotation of a GenBank genome assembly
GGGCCAUAGCUCAAUGGUAGAGCACUUGCUUUGUAUGCAAAAGGUCCCAGGUUCUAUCUCUUGCAUCUCUA